AAACAUUGAGAAUUUCCCCGUUCUCAGUCAAGUCCAGCCUGGUUAUCUCCGUAAGCUUUUGCCUGAAACCGCACCUGCUCAUUCUGAGACAUUGCAAGACGUUCUUGAAGAUGUUGAAACAAAAAUAUUACCAGGGGUGACCCACUGGCAGAGCCCAGAUUACUUUGCAUAUUUUCCUUCAAAUAGUAGUGUGGCUGGAUUUCUGGGGGAAAUGCUCAGUGCCGGGAUUAACAUGGUGGGCUUUAGUUGGAUAACUUCUCCAGCAGCGACAGAACUUGAAAUGAUCGUUCUGGAUUGGCUUGCUAAAGUACUUAAGUUGCCUGAUGAAUUCCUUUCAACAGGUCAAGGAGGUGGAGUGAUACAGGGAACAGCAAGUGAAGCUGUUCUAGUUG
Molecule: unclassified non-coding RNA, 392 nt
Filed under: Hevea brasiliensis (rubber tree)
Lineage: Eukaryota; Viridiplantae; Streptophyta; Magnoliopsida; Malpighiales; Euphorbiaceae
Source: RNAcentral